Molecule: ribosomal RNA, 215 nt
Filed under: uncultured Actinomycetales bacterium
Lineage: Bacteria; Bacillati; Actinomycetota; Actinomycetes; Actinomycetales
Description: partial 16S ribosomal RNA
Rfam family: Bacterial small subunit ribosomal RNA
Source: RNAcentral
GUGUGGUGAUCUGCCCUGCACUCUGGGAUAAGCCUGGGAAACUGGGUCUAAUACCGGAUAGGACCAUGCUUUAGUGUGUGUGGUGGAAAGUUUUUUCGGUGUAGGAUGAGCCCGCGGCCUAUCAGCUUGUUGGUGGGGUAAUGGCCUACCAAGGCGGCGACGGGUAGCCGGACUGAGAGGUUGGUCGGCCACAUUGGGACUGAGAUACGGCCCAG